Molecule: ribosomal RNA, 260 nt
Filed under: uncultured bacterium
Lineage: Bacteria
Description: partial 16S ribosomal RNA
Rfam family: Bacterial small subunit ribosomal RNA
Source: RNAcentral
UACGUAGGGGCCUAGCGUUGUCCGGAAUUACUGGGCGUAAAGCGCGUGUAGGUGGUGGACAAGUCGUGCUGACUGGAAGCGCCUGGCUUAACCGGGCGAGGUCGGCGGAAACCAUCUGGCGUAGAGUCCGGAAGAGGAGAGUGGAAUUCCUGGUGUAGCGGUGAAAUGGCGCAGAUAGUCAGGAAGAACACCCGUGGCUAAGGCGGCUCUCUAGUAACGGUGACUGGACGCUGAGACGCGAAAGCGUGGGAGCGAACAGG